UAAAGGCUCACCAAGGCGACGAUCCCUAGCUGGUCUGAGAGGAUGAUCAGCCACACUGGAACUGAGACACGGUCCAGACUCCUACGGGAGGCAGCAGUGGGGAAUAUUGCACAAUGGGGGAAACCCUGAUGCAGCCAUGCCGCGUGUAUGAAGAAGGCCUUCGGGUUGUAAAGUACUUUCAGCAGUGAGGAAGGUGGUAGUGUUAAUAGCNCUAUCAUUUGACGUUAGCUGCAGAAGAAGCACCGGCUAACUCCGUGCCAGCAGCCGCGGUAAUACGGAGGGUGCGAGCGUUAAUCGGAAUUACUGGGCGUAAAGCGCAUGCAGGCGGUCUGUUAAGCAAGAUGUGAAAGCCCGGGGCUCAACCUCGGAACAGCAUUUUGAACUGGCAGACUAGAGUCUUGUAGAGGGGGGUAGAUUUUCAGGUGU
This 426-nucleotide ribosomal RNA is filed under the name Photobacterium sp. R-13. RNAcentral describes it as "bacterial SSU rRNA". It matches the Rfam family "Bacterial small subunit ribosomal RNA", at positions 258 to 676 of the family's 1533-position model. Lineage: Bacteria; Pseudomonadati; Pseudomonadota; Gammaproteobacteria; Vibrionales; Vibrionaceae. The record is from RNAcentral.